UACGAAAAGAGCUCUAAGGUGCAUAAAAUGGAUCGAUUGAAACGAUUAUUCUCGUUAUCGUUGUCAUCUAAUCUCUUUCAAUUUUAUUACUGGAACUUUAUUGAGCACGCAUCAUGAUUUUAUACAAGAAUCGCAACUUACGUUUAGGAUUAUCACGUAGCUCACGUAGAAUAUAAAAAGAAGUGUAGAAGUAGAAAUAGAAGUAGAAAUAGAAGAAGAAGAAGAAUGUAGUAGUAGAGGAAGAAGAAGAAGAAGAAAAAGAAGAAUGCAGUAGUAGUAGUAGUUGUUGUAGUAGUUGUAGUAGAAGAAGAAGAAGAAUGUGAUGAUGACACUUUCACAGAAGGAACAAAGAGGAGGAUGAACGAGAGCCGACUCUGCCACAUGCGUCCGGUUUGAUAUAGAAGAAGAAAAAAAAGGUGGAAGAAGAAGAAGAAGAAGAAGUAGAAGAAGAAGAAGAAAGUGAAAAAUUCAAUAUGUCUCAAUUUAACUCCUCUUUCUUGAAAUAUAUCUAUUUAUCGCA
This is a long non-coding RNA of Vespa velutina, 520 nucleotides long. RefSeq lists it as uncharacterized. The transcript is spliced from 2 exons. NCBI's taxonomy places the organism in Eukaryota, Metazoa, Arthropoda, Insecta, Hymenoptera, Vespidae. The record is from RefSeq and is a predicted model, not a curated record.